Molecule: long non-coding RNA, 1771 nt
Organism: Hydractinia symbiolongicarpus
Lineage: Eukaryota; Metazoa; Cnidaria; Hydrozoa; Anthoathecata; Hydractiniidae
Exons: 2
Source: RefSeq, a predicted model, not a curated record
UGUGCGUUUCUCUGCACAAUAGUCGUUUAGGGGACGUAGGUAAUGUUUAUUUACAGGUAAUCAAGAUUCUAAUAUGAGAGUGGAAAACAAUAAACUGCCGUCAUUAGCUAGGAGGGGGAGAGGUGGGGGUGGCUUUUGGAGAUGGCCAGUCAGUUAGGCGCGUACAAGAGUUAUCUUACCUUCUUUCUUGCCUCCAGCGGUGAGUUAGGGGGCCACCAAUCCAUACUGUGUAUUUUACCGUGGUCACUCACAAACAGAGUUGUUUGCCAUGGUAUAGACAACCGCAAAAAACUAAAUUGUUUAAAAAGGAUAACUACCAUAACACAAGAACUCACAGUAUAGUACUAAAUUUGCACAAAGUAAAAGGCUAAGAGUAUAAAAUAUCAAUUGUUUAAUAACAUUCUAUGAAGUAUUCUAUAAUGGAAAAUCAUUUGAGACUUACGUAAUCAGCAUGAGAUAGUUUGUUGGGAAAGGUUGCUGAAUAUUGUUCCAUUAUUUAAAAAAAUGACCGCUGAGCGAAUGUAAAUUGGAGGUGGUUGUUUAUCUACACUAGGUACACUAGGUAACUUGUGAGUGAAGUGCAGAGCAAGUAUAUUUCGAGCUAAAAAUGGUUCCUUCCUGAUCAAUAUAGUAAAUUUCAAAAGGAAUAAUUGAAACAAGAACGUAUUGAAAUUUCAAUAAACACAUUGAAAAUGUGUAUGUACUCUUCAAAAAACAAUCACACAAUGGUUCCAUGGCGAAAAUCUAUUUCAUGAAAUUUAAAUUCACUUUUCGAAAGUGUUCUUCAAUUCAAUUCAAUCAAAGUUUCUAUGAUUAAAGUAGGUAAGAUAUAUUCAACAUCUGAAUAUAUCUUCUUGUUUCAUGCAAAAGAUCUAGAGUGGAUCUCAACAAAGAAUUAUCCUGCUAGCAAAAUGGAAAAGUUGCUCCGUGAAAAACUUGAAAAUAACAACAGCAAGCGAAAAGGACAACGACACCUUAUUUCAUGGGCAGAAGCAAUGCAUAUAAGGACAAACAAGAAACAAAGAAGGCAGAUAAUAAAAGAAGGAUUGAAUUACAUAGUAUGUAAAUCUGUGGAGACGUUGAUAAAGACUUCAUGAAAUGUUAUAACACCAUUGCGGGGACAUUGGUGUACCUCGUGUUGAGGAGAAGUCUGGCGAAGACAGUGAUUUUGAUUUCCCGUGGAUGGAAAAUACAGAGAUUGAUGGUAAGUAGAAUUGUUGUUACAUUUCUUGACACUUCAUAUAUCAUGAUUUUACACUCAUUGUGAAAACAUUCGGGUUGAGGUACUGUAGGGUUUAAAAAAUAGUGGCGACAACGAAAAUGAGUUGUUGAAAAGAUGCGAAGAAGAAGUCGGCAUACUCAAAAAAGAAAUGUCUAGCUACUGGCUUUUUUACAGUAUAAUUGGAAAAUGAGAUAGAUGUCAAUAGCUUCAACUUUUAUGCGAAUGAGUGCUUACCAAUGGCGAAAAGGUUAAUCCUGAAGAGAGGCAUGUUUCCCUGUCCGGCUCAGACAGUGACCCGGAAUAAUGUAGCUGUUAUCGUCUGUAUUUAUUAUUUGAACUACCAUAGCUCUUUUCCGGGAUUACAUAUUUUUUCAAGAUUUCGUAUCGUAUCCGAAAUCUUGUUUAAACGGGCUUUUUCCUCCUUCGUUUUCCUUCUUAUCCUUCUCACUCAUUUCACACAGUAUGUUCUAUUGUUUGUAAUCUCUUUAAUAAUAGCCGUCGUCUGUCUGUCUGUGUGUCCGCGAAAGCCGUGUCCCGUAACGGAAACAC